Thalassophryne amazonica is the source of this 1100-nucleotide long non-coding RNA. RefSeq lists it as uncharacterized. The record is from RefSeq and is a predicted model, not a curated record. The transcript has 2 exons. NCBI's taxonomy places the organism in Eukaryota, Metazoa, Chordata, Actinopteri, Batrachoidiformes, Batrachoididae.
CUUGCUUUUUGAGUAAAUUAAACUCUGAAUUUUUGAUUGACUUGAACUAAUUUAUAUUAAGUAAGCAAAACUUGAAAGUAUAAUUUAAGCACAACUUAAAAGAAUUAAGUAAUUAUAUAUGGAAAUAUAUGAGUUGACUUAGUGAGCACUUUAGCAGGGGUGGUGACCUAGUGGUUAGUGGGCUUGGCUUUGGUACAGAAGGUUUCUGGUUCAAACCCCACCCCUGCCACAUUUCUGUAUGUUGGUGUUAAACUUGUGUCAACUCAACAUGCAAAUCAACCUCUGAUCUGCUGUGGUGACCCUGAGUGAAAAGCAAGGGAGCAGCUGAAGGGACUUAAUGAACACUUUAAUGUAAUUGUAACCAUGAGGUACAAGUAGCAUAUAAUCAAAACUUUUAAGUUCUGGGAACAGUUGGCUUUAAUUUUAUGAACUAAAAAAUAUUGUGGCAACUGAUUACCCCAGUAUUUUUUAGUUCUGCCAGCUUGUUUGGGUUUACAGUGUACUUUAUGCCAAGUAUUAUUACUUUCUGACAUGUAUUCUCAACACUAAGUACUUUAAGAGAUCUAUAAAUGUGAUUGGGCACUGUUUAUAGGAAUAUCACAGACAAAAGCUUCAGGCUGGGUUUGAACUUAGAACCUUUUGGUUUUGAAGCAGCAGCAGCACUUUCGUAGCAUUGAACCAGCAAUGAUAUGAUUAACUUUGAGUAAAGAAGUCCAACUCUGCAAGGUGUAACAAAGAGUGUUAAAAUAAGCCUUUCAGAGUUGAAAUCAGCCAUGAAAUUUUUGUGAAAUGUUUUAAAAUCACUAAUGUUUUUUCUGUGAAAUACAUCGAUUUUUGUUUUCUUCUUUGUGCGAUAAAGUUUUUAUCGUUUACUUAUUCCUUUUGGCACCACACUGCCAGUAAUGUGGGAUUUUACAUUUUGACAAAUAAGAAAAGUAGCACAGGAACCAUUUUUCUGUCACGGGACAUGUGUGUUUGUGGUGGAAAUUUGGCUCCAGCACUGGCACUCAUCAAAUGUGGAAAAAUGGUAUCAGCUGUAGGUCUAUGUGUUUCCCAAAUGAUUUCUACUAUACUUCAUGGGUCAGAGUUGUAACAAUCUA